CAUUAGAUGACUGAAAUUUAAGUCUUGGUCUCUUAAACCAAUAUAUAGUAUUAAUAUUACUUCUAAUGA
RNAcentral lists this transfer RNA (69 nucleotides) under Venturia canescens. Its description in RNAcentral is "tRNA-Lys". The record is from RNAcentral. Lineage: Eukaryota; Metazoa; Arthropoda; Insecta; Hymenoptera; Ichneumonidae.